ACCACAACGGGUGGAGCCUGCGGUUUAAUUGGACUCAACGCCGGGCAGCUCACCGGAUAAGACAGCUGGAUGAUAGCCGGGCUGAAGACUCUGCUUGACUAGCUGAGAGGAGGUGCAUGGCCGUCGUCAGUUCGUACUGCGAAGCAUCCUGUUAAGUCAGGCAACGAGCGAGACCCACGCCAACAGUUGCCAGCAUGGUCUUCGGACUGAUGGGGACACUGUUGGGACCGCCUCUGCUAAAGGGGAGGAAGGAAUGGGCAACGGUAGGUCAGCAUGCCCCGAAUUAUCCGGGCUACACGCGGGCUACAAUGGAUGGGACAAUGGGUUUCGACACCGAAAGGUGAAGGUAAUCUCCUAACCCCACCCUUAGUUCGGAUUGCGGGCUGCAACUCGCCCGCAUGAAGCUGGAAUCCGUAGUAAUCGCGUCUCAAGAUGGCGCGGUGAAUAUGUCCCUGCUCCUU
This 461-nucleotide ribosomal RNA is filed under the name uncultured Methanocalculus sp. RNAcentral describes it as "bacterial SSU rRNA". It matches the Rfam family "Archaeal small subunit ribosomal RNA", at positions 878 to 1338 of the family's 1478-position model. The record is from RNAcentral. Lineage: Archaea; Methanobacteriati; Methanobacteriota; Methanomicrobia; Methanomicrobiales; Methanocalculaceae.